This is a long non-coding RNA of Oncorhynchus nerka (sockeye salmon), 1781 nucleotides long. RefSeq lists it as uncharacterized. The transcript is spliced from 2 exons. The record is from RefSeq and is a predicted model, not a curated record. NCBI's taxonomy places the organism in Eukaryota, Metazoa, Chordata, Actinopteri, Salmoniformes, Salmonidae.
UUCUACUUUGACAUUAUUUACAUGUACUUUUCAGGCCCCAUUAUGUGUGAGUUUUGGGAGUCAUUUUGAUACUCUUUUUGGUGUAAUAUUCCACAAUAUUUUUAUAUUCUGGACCCACAGAUUUUCCUCUAGCCCAGCAUGCACUAGCACAUCCGAUGCAACUAAAAUCAGGUGCAAUGGAUCUGUUAGUGAUGCAUUUAGUGGACUAUAAUAAAAAUGGGUUCCUCAGGAACAGGACUGAAAAACAUUGAAUAGGUCUGUCUAUAUUUCCUGUCAUUUUCAUAUCCACCUUUGACACUUAAAAACUUAAGUGAUUGAUAUAAUUAAUGAAAGAAGGUAAGAAGAAAGGAAACUAUAACCUUUUAGGGUGGGUUGCACCAACAUGGUUUUAAUUAAUCUAGGAUUAGAGCUAAUCUAGGUUUUGUAAAUCUAGGUUUAUAAUUAAUCAGAGAUGUGUGGCACCACUUCAUUUUAAAUCUGGCUCAGUAAAUCUAUAAUUAACGGUUUUAAACUAUGAUUACUGACAUGUUGCACCAAUAUAUGAGUUUUUUCUUGAGUUGAAACAAAGUAGAUGGGCCAUUUUAUGCGACACAUUUAAUGGAUCGACACGGAUUAAAGAAAAAAGGAACCCAAAUCAAAUGAAGGUGUGCUGGAAAAACGAAAAGCGAAAGCGAAAGCAAAAAAAUGAUGCAGCAGAGGCGAGUGCUCUUUCAGACCGGAGGGGGCCUCCAAGGCUAUUGAUCCUCUCUCCCAGAAGAUUUGAGAGAUGGUUCCCCAGCAGUUUUCCCCUCUCCUUAACUCUUAUGAUGACGACGGACAACUCGGCCCACCAAUAUUUAGUAAACAUAAAUAACUGGGACUCCUGAAACAACCAGCAAACCAGGCUGUCGUAAUGUGAAUCAGUGGAUGUAAAGAAUCUAGCUAGCUAAAGCAUUUACUGCAAAUUGAAUGUACAAUUUUGGAAGCUUGCCUUGCUGAUAUUUGCCAUGCAAUGUGUUGGAUCCUGUGUUUUACAUUAUAGCCAUUACCAUAUAUAUGAUUGAAUAUUAUCUGCUGUUGGCUUGUGUGGAUGUAUGUAUGUGUUAUGCAACAUAGCUGACUUGAAACAUUGUUAAAAGUAUCAGGGCCAUGGGACUUUCUCAUGAUGGAAAAAUACAGAGAAGCAUGAAGACAGUAACUGUUCAAAUUAGUUGGGAGGGGGGCACAUUCAGAGCGGGGUGUUGCGUGAACAAGCGGUCUUUUGUUAGAUAACAGGAGCCAGGUGCGAGAUAACGGUAUGGAGCAUGAGAGCCUGGAUGUUCUUCACAAGCAACAUUUACAUCUAUCAACAGAAGCGCCAAGAGGCGGGGACCCGCCUGAGCACCUGCAAUAGGCUGAGCAAGUUUAAACCACGCCCAGUCUCUACUGUGAUAAGCCAACAGACGGGUUGGAACUGUCUAUCACAGUAUAAAGAAUACUGUUUUACAUACAACUUGUCAGUUCUCCGUUCUGCCCUGCGUGGUAUUACAGUGAGCCCGUAUAUACGAAAGUUGCAUUUGCCAUUUUUUACUUAGCUAAUAAAAAAUACAUAGUAUAAAAUCGGUGACUCAUUGUUAUAUUUAUCCUGAUACCAGAUUCGAAUUUACGCAACCCUAACAAAUGCAGAAAGAUGAAGUAACGUAGUUAUUAUGUUCUUGCUUAUUGUGCAGUGGAGGAUACAAAUACCUGUAUUGUAACCUGUACAUUUAAUAUAUUCACUGAUCAUGUAUUCUACCUUGGCAAAUAAAUGUGCAGUUCAGGUA